GUACAUGCUUAUAGCAUAGUGUUAAUGCAUUGGAUCCCAUUAGAACUUUGUAGUUAAGCACACUCGGGAUAGAGUAGUAUUAGGAUGAGUGACCGCCCAGGAAGUCCUAGUGUUUAAC
Molecule: non-coding RNA, 118 nt
Organism: Picea glauca (white spruce)
Lineage: Eukaryota; Viridiplantae; Streptophyta; Pinopsida; Pinales; Pinaceae
Source: Rfam